AUUUAAAAGAACCCAUCAAAUUUAUUUAUACAAGUGUCAAAAUUAUUUUUAUUCUUAUUUAUUUUGAAAACGAUGAUUUAAUUUCAAAUGAGCACUGCAGGUUUGCAAUUUCAUGGAGUUUGCACUGAAUUCUAAUUUACAGAGAAUUGCAAACCAAAAUUCUUGACUAUUUACAAGGAAAAAAUCAAACUAUUUUGCAAGAAUAACUUCAUUGUUGUAAAAAUAAAUAAACAAUCAUUGGUCAUUAUGAUAUCACAAAUUCAUUAUUGAAUGUCCAACAUUCAUAAUUGAAUUGUCCAUAUCAAACAUGAAAAGUUGAUCCAUUAUAUUCUAUAUAUAUAUAUAUAUACAAAAAUAUUUUUAAUUUCUCUCUGUCAAGAUAAGGUAAGAGUAUUAUAAUAUAUUAUAUAUACCACUACAUUAAUGUACAUAGUGUUUAACAUUGAUUAACAUAUAAAAAAAAUAUAAUUAAAGAAAAAAGAAAAUGUAAAAACAACAAUAAAAGUGGUGGAAGUGGAUACUUACAAGCACUUAAUUUAUGCGGGACCCCAUCAAAACACCUGGCAGCAUGAUAACGUGGAUUAUGGAAGAAAAGUUUUCAAAUUGUUGUCAGCAACUUUCCACACUAAAUAGAGCAAAACAAUAAAUAAAUGAUUAAAUAAAAAUCACUUAAUUAAACAAAUACAGUAAAGCGCUUGAUUGUCUUUUUUGUCUGAAAAAGUUUGCACUCAUUAGAAAUAGUAACUUGGCAUCCACAAUAAAUUAAGUGACAAAUA
This 776-nucleotide long non-coding RNA is filed under the name Physcomitrium patens. RNAcentral's name for it is "long non-coding RNA (PPAT_LNC003982)". The record is from RNAcentral. Lineage: Eukaryota; Viridiplantae; Streptophyta; Bryopsida; Funariales; Funariaceae.